CGCUGGCGGCGUGCUUAACACAUGCAAGUCGAACGAUGAAGCCCUUCGGGGUGGAUUAGUGGCGAACGGGUGAGUAACACGUGGGCAAUCUGCCCUUCACUCUGGGACAAGCCCUGGAAACGGGGUCUAAUACCGGAUACCACUCCUGCCUGCAUGGGCGGGGGUUGAAAGCUCCGGCGGUGAAGGAUGAGCCCGCGGCCUAUCAGCUUGUUGGUGGGGUAAUGGCCCACCAAGGCGACGACGGGUAGCCGGCCUGAGAGGGCGACCGGCCACACUGGGACUGAGACACGGCCCAGACUCCUACGGGAGGCAGCAGUGGGGAAUAUUGCACAAUGGGCGAAAGCCUGAUGCAGCGACGCCGCGUGAGGGAUGACGGCCUUCGGGUUGU
This 388-nucleotide ribosomal RNA is filed under the name uncultured bacterium. RNAcentral's name for it is "bacterial SSU rRNA". It matches the Rfam family "Bacterial small subunit ribosomal RNA", at positions 34 to 426 of the family's 1533-position model. The record is from RNAcentral.